AGGGAAUCUUCGGCAAUGGACGAAAGUCUGACCGAGCAACGCCGCGUGAGUGAUGACGGCCUUCGGGUUGUAAAGCUCUGUGAUCGGGGACGAACGGUCAGCAGACGAAUACUCUGCUGAAGUGACGGUACCCGAAUAGCAAGCCACGGCUAACUACGUGCCAGCAGCCGCGGUAAUACGUAGGUGGCAAGCGUUGUCCGGAAUUAUUGGGCGUAAAGCGCGCGCAGGCGGCUUCUUAAGUCCAUCUUAAAAGUGCGGGGCUUAACCCCGUGAUGGGAUGGAAACUGAGAGGCUGGAGUAUCGGAGAGGAAAGUGGAAUUCCUAGUGUAGCGGUGAAAUGCGUAGAGAUUAGGAAGAACACCGGUGGCGAAGGCGACUUUCUGGACGACAACUGACGCUGAGGCGCGAAAGCGUGGGGAGCAAAC
This 425-nucleotide ribosomal RNA is filed under the name uncultured bacterium. Its description in RNAcentral is "bacterial SSU rRNA". It matches the Rfam family "Bacterial small subunit ribosomal RNA", at positions 356 to 773 of the family's 1533-position model. The record is from RNAcentral.